Cajanus cajan (pigeon pea) is the source of this 604-nucleotide long non-coding RNA. RefSeq lists it as uncharacterized. Lineage: Eukaryota; Viridiplantae; Streptophyta; Magnoliopsida; Fabales; Fabaceae. The record is from RefSeq and is a predicted model, not a curated record.
UAAAAAGCAAAGAAAUUGAAAUUUCUCGCUCUGUGCUUCUUCGACACACGUUGCGUCGACGUGCACGCAAAUCUCAGCCACUCACUUGUAAGUACUUUCUUAUGGAUGCGGGAUAUACCAAUAGUCCAUGAUUCUUAGCACCAUAUCAAGGGAUUAGAUAUCAUCUAAAUGACCCCUCAAAAUUUCAAGGAGUUAUUUAAUCUUCGUCAUUCAAGUGCGCGAAAUGCAAUAAAAAGGGACAAGCAACAAAUUGAUCAACUUUUAGAGGUUCAAGACUUGGAGCUCUUAUCUAUUGUUGAUGAGGAGCUAACCAACCAAUGGAGAGAAAGAGUUCAAAACAAUGUCAUAGAUAAGGUUGCAACUAUUUAAGUUAUUGAGAAAUGGACAAGAUUUCGAGAUGCAUUAGCAAUGAGUAUGUUUGCUAACUACCAAGUUAGAAGAAACAUUGGUUAGGGGUAGUCUUUUCUUUUUUGAUGUGAUUUUCUGUUGAAGAAAGACUUUUUUAUGUACGUGAUGGACUUUUAUGUACUAGAUUGAAGAAAACUUUGUUUGAAAUAUUGUUUUUUUGAUAGCUUCCAUUUGUUUACAAAAGAAAUAUUUACAU